Molecule: ribosomal RNA, 18 nt
Filed under: Dendronephthya castanea
Lineage: Eukaryota; Metazoa; Cnidaria; Anthozoa; Malacalcyonacea; Nephtheidae
Description: partial 18S ribosomal RNA
Source: RNAcentral
ACCUGCGGAAGGAUCAUC